AUAUUAUUAUACUAAUUUAAAAAAAUAUAUAUACAUAGGAAAUGUUAGUUUUGACAGUAAUUACACAAUAAUCGAUAAAUAUAUAAAUUAUCUUCAUCGAAGUUAUUAUAAUAUAUACAAGAAUCGAUAUAUUAUAUUCGUAUAUUUACAACAGUAUUUUGAUGAAAUAAAUUUAGAUGACUCAAUACAUAUAAACAUAAAAGAUGAGAUAUUAAUGUUAAUAAUUAUUUUAGGAUACUGUCUAAAUUUAUAUGGUUAUUCAUUGGAUUAUAUAAACAAACUGAGCUUAUCACACAGAAAAUGGAUAGAACCAUUGUACAGACAUAUAUGCGAACAAUUUCAUAAAAAUAUUAUAUCAAAAAAGAGUAGACGUGUGAAUAAUAGUGCUAAUUAUAAUAAUAGCCCUCUUGAUGAGGCUAACCGUUACAUUAAAAAGUUUGACAAAACUGCAUUUGUAAAUAAUUUAUAUUUGCCUGUAUAUAAUAUAAAUUUUAUGAACGAUACAUGUUCAUAUGUCGAUCACAGUAAUUCUGCGGAUACCUAUAACAGUCACACAGAUAAUAAACAAACCUCAAAUGGAUACAUUAAUAAGUAUUACAAUAGUAAUAAACAUAAUACGUCUAUACCGUAUACAAGUUGUGAUGACUUUGAAACAGAUAGAGGAUUUCUACAUUGCUCUAAUAAAACAAAUGUUUAUACUACCAAUUUAAGAUAUUUUGUAUCAUCAAACAUAAGUUAUAGGAGUUCAUUUAAUAUAUUAUUGAAAAGUAUUUUGUAUGAAAAUGUAUAUAAUAUAUUAAACUACUCUUAUCAUAUGAGAAAUAAAAAAAUUAUUAAAAUGAAUAAGUUAUUUGAUAAAGAUGAAGAAUAUCUAAAACAACAAUAUAAACAAUUUAAACACCAACAGGAAAAAGAACAAGAACAAGAGCAAGAGCAAGAGCAAGAACAAGCAGAGGAACAAGUACAAGAAGAAGAACAAGUACAAGAACAAGAAGAACAAGCAAAAGCAGAGGAACAAGAGAAAAGAGAGGCAAUGGUUUUAGAAAAAUAUGAUAUUUUAAAAAAAUUAGAAGAAUUGGGUGCGAACGUUUUAAAUGAUGUAAUAAUAGAAGAAGAUGCAGAACCACUAAAAGCAAUAGAAUUAUUAUAUGGGGAUUUGGAGGUAGAACUGAAUAUAUUUAAACGUGGUAUAACAAACAAUAAACACACCACAAGAAGAAUGUGGAGAAUUUUAAAAGAGAUUUCAAGCACAUUUGAAAACAUACAAUUUUUAUAUACAAGGUGUGCCCUGAGUUAUUUAGAAAGAAAGAAUAUGGAUAUAAAUAAAAAGAUUAUCGAGAAAAUGAAAUUAAUGGAUGUGACAGAAGAUGAUAUAAGAAACAUUUUAGAACAUAUAACUAAAAAUAACACAGUGUAUAAACUAGAAAAUCAUAAUUUACUUACUAACUUCAUUAAAAAAUACCAAGAAAAUAUUCUAUCAUCAUAUUUUGAUAUUAAAAAAAUUAACAAACCUGCAAUAUUUAACAUGUGCGUGUUAACAUACAAGUAUAUGAUAUAUUGUAAUUAUUAUGGCAAUAUGUACAUCGAUAUAUUUAAUCGUUUGCAUAAUGAGAUAGACAGUUUGUUAAAUGGGGCAAACAACUAUUUGAAGCAGCUAAAGGGGGAGGGGGACCCGAUUAGGCAAGAAGACUCGAAAAUGCACUCGGAGGAGAACAAUAAAUUUAAGGACUCACUAAUAAAUUAUUCGCUUAGUAAUAUAAAAACAAUGGAACGAGUACAAUUUACUUUGCAACAAUUAAAAAAUGAUCAUGAGUCUUGUAUGCUGGAAAAUUUACAUAUGGGUGAAGAUUGGAACAUUGGUUCUUAUUUAUUAGACAUUUAUCAACAUUUUAAUUUAUUUUAUGAUUUUUUUGUAUAUUUAAAAGAAAAUAAUAUAGGCUUACACGAUAACAGAAAAGAAGAUUUAUCUGCUAUUCAUAUUUCUUCUAUUGAUAAAGACGAAGUUCAAUUUUUGCAUUACCUAAAAAAUAAACAAAGAGCAUUAAAACUGUAUGAAAACUUUACAUUUAAGAAAGAUCUAAAAAAAAUAGUUCCUGGCAAACGUAAAUUAGAUAAAAUAGAUUCAAAUAAAUUGUCGUCCUAUUCAUACCUACACACUCAAAACGAUAAAAAAUAUGAAACGUAUGCCAAAUUAAAAAGGGGGAAAUAUACAAAUAAUUACGACGACAGUACUGUUGAGAUCCCCCAGGUAAAAUUUUAUCCCAGUUCAUCACGCAGCACAGAUGAAAUGUUACAUGAAAAUGAUUCUUUUAAUAAACUAUCUGAGCUAUUUAACUGCAAUUUAGAUUAUUUAAGAAUAUUUCAAAGGCUUUAUGAAAAUAAAAAUACAAAUCAUGUUUUUUUUAAAUAUUUAUCGCUAUUAGAAAAGGAAAAACAUUUUGUUUAUUUUUUCGAAACGUACACAGAAGUAAUACUAAGAAUUUUCCAGGAAUAUUAUGCAAACGGAUAUACAGAAACAUUAAUAUAUUUUGGAAACGAUAAAAGAAAUUUAAAUGGAGCAUAUAAUUUAAUAUAUUUAUUUAUUAAAUACUGCAAUUUUCCAACACAUUUUACAUUUUGGAAAACAGUUCUUGGUACAGAAAAAAACGAAAGCAUAUUUUAUCCUGAUAACAAAUAUAUACAUAAUUUUAAGCAUUGCAAAUAUAUAAAAGAUCAGCUGCGAAUGACAAAUGAAUUACUAAGCAAAACAGAAAACCUUGAUAUUAUGAAUUUUGAUUCUAUAUUUGAGAAAUCACACUUACCAUUCAUAUUUAGAAAAAUACAUGGGUAUAUGAAAAGAAAUGUAAAUAAAAAAAAACACACAAUUUUACUGUUAAAAAAAAGAAAUCAUAUACCAUUAUAUACAUAUAAAUAUCUUCAAGAGUCGUUGGACACAAGUGAAUAUCAAGCUCAACAAUUAAUUGACACACAUAAUAUAACAUUAAAUUCAAAACUAC
Molecule: long non-coding RNA, 2996 nt
Organism: Piliocolobus tephrosceles (Ugandan red Colobus)
Lineage: Eukaryota; Metazoa; Chordata; Mammalia; Primates; Cercopithecidae
Source: Ensembl